UAAGUUUGAAUCCAGAACAGAACAUAUGACGUCAUACUGGUAUGUGCAAAAGACUAAAACAAGGAUUCUGGGAACUUUUGAUUUAACACAAUGAGAGUAUUGAUCAUAAGAGAAAUAUGUUUAAGAACUUGUGAGAUUUGGUUAACGCUUGAUAUCAACUCUUGUUAUUUAAUUUAGAUAAUAAUAAUAAACUUGCCGUAGGCUCAUUUAUUAUUAUACUUAAAUUAAAUUCCUGAUUUGAUAUCAAGCGAUAUCCAAUUCUCAAUCGUAAUGAUACCUUACACAUAUUCAUUCCACUGGUCUAUACUGAAAUCCAAUAUAACAAUUGGCGACUUAUCAAUUGACAAUGCAUUACAAGUACCAAAGUGUAAAAUAAACUAACUACUGAUACAAAAUACAUUAACAGAGAAUUAAUGAAAGCUACUUGUUCCGGAGGGUUAGCAUAAGUUGUCAGUACAGAAACAGGAUAUCAAUACGUUCAUAAUUACACAAAUUGAAAACUACAUUUGAAAUAAAUUAUCCAAACUGAACACGAGUUGAGUAAAACAAAUUGAAACAAGCAAAAUCUUGAAAAUGUAUGGCUUUAAAAAAAAACAAAAAACAAAAAACAAAUCCCAAAAACACUACACGAAUCCAACUUUCGCCUUUGUAUCUGCCACUGCCUUAGUUUACAAUCUUGUAUUUUCGUUUUGUAUUAGUUUCUUAGCGAUAGACAGUUCCCCGAUUAAUUCUAAAUUACGUAUUCUUAGAAUUUCACAACAUUAUUAUUUUUAAAGGAAACAACCGCAAGCUAUCAUAAAUACUAGCAUUCCCGAUUUUUGUUUUUAUCGUCUUUGUUCUUUAUCUGAUUGAUCAUAUAUGGGCAUUUCAGAACUGUUUGUUACAUCUCUAAAUUAAUGAAUUUAUAUAUAAUUAGCAUACACGCGUACAUACAUUAUCACGCACUACAUGAUAAUAUAAUAAAGGGACUUUUACAAACAAAAUAAUGUAUGGUUGUCGGCGCCUUUUAUCUAAGGAUGAUAAUAACAUACGUUACUAGUGGUACGUUGCUUAUCUUGAUUAUGAUAAGUACAUUUUAAUGCAUAUGUAUUUCUAAUGAUCAAAUAAGUAGUGAAUUAUACAGACAAAAGCUGCAUGUGUAAAAGUUCGCAAACAUUAAGCCGAGAGUUUAAAAGAACAUACACAUAUUUACUGCAUGUAUAACGCAUACUUAUUUUCAAUGAUGUUAUUGAUCAAUUUAAUUGAAUUUAAGAAUUGAAGUGUUCAAUUAAAUAACAGUCAUUUGAAUAUGUUUUGGAUAAUUUGUCAGAGCCUUGACAACAAGUAUCAAUACCAACAAACAUUUCCCAUAAUCUACGAAAAAUGGUGCUCACGGCAAUAACAAUCGACAGUUCGUAAUUUUAUCGUAGUUUUCCAACGUUUCACGGGCAACACGACAUGUGCAACAUGUUUAGAAGGAUACGCUUACCUUUCAAAAGCACAUGAGAUGCUCUGUUUGUUUACGGCGGUUCGUGUCCCGUAGUCUUUAGCUUUCUAUGAAUUGUUUUCUGAACUGUUUUUCACUGUUUUUGUCUUUUCCUCGUUAUUGCUGUGAUAUCGUCAGUUUUUUUUUCGAUUUAUACUUUUGUGUUUUUCCUCUGGUCUCCUUUGCCACAUGAGCAAAGCUAGAUAAAACAUGCAUGUCUUAUUAAAUAUAUGGUAAGAUAUGACAGUGUAAUUAAUAUAUAUUAUUAUUACGUAUUUAAAACGACUAAAAAAUAAUUAACGGUGCGAAAUUAUGAUUAAAUUUGUGUACAUUCAAUUGACUUCGCACAUAGUGCUUAACCGGCUAACAUUAAAGUAUUAUUAACUGCUUCUUGUUAUUAUCGCACGUCUGUUUCGAAUGGUAACGUAAUGCAAAUUGACGCUACUUGGAAAAAAUUUCUACUAAAAAAGCCCAACGUAAAGUUUCAUAUGAAAAUAUACAACACAUUCAUGACAGUAGGAUGAAAGACACAAUAACAGGAAUCAUGAAGUACAUAACGAGAAGUGCCAAAAAAAUAAAGAAUAUACUGAACACCAAAUUAAUGUGUUUCAGGUUGCUGUUUGCAAUUGGCCGUGUCGAAAAAUUGAAAAUAUUUCAUUAAUUUAAUUCUGUGUCAAAUGCAUCUCGUUUUUGGUUAUUCCGAUGAGAAAAAAAGUUAUUAUUUUAAUAUUGGUAAUACGGCAGUUUGUUUCUUAUUGUUUCCAUUAACUUAAUAAUCGUUCAACUAAUAAUCUUAAAAUUUCAAAACGGUGUUUAUUAUGACAAACUGAAGGUCCAGUUUGAUAUCAACAAUGUUAACUGGUGUCGUUAAAGAGUUGUUUUUGAUUGACUCAGAAAUGACACUUUCUGCCGUUUCCGUGCAAUACCUUGUGAAUUGUAUGGCCAAUAUUUUUCAAAUUCUUAUAUAAUUAACUUUCAUGAAAAAAAAGGGAAAGUUCGAUACUGACGAUUGUCAUUUUCCAAUCAUUUGGAAACCCUUAAGUGUCCAUUUUUGUCGGUAAAAACGCCUUGAGGAACCUCUGAGAGAGUUAUAUGUACUGUAUUCCAACCAGCAUUUAAAAUAAUUUCAUCAUCAAAAGAGGCAGAAGAUAUCAAGGGAACAUUAAAAUCUAAACAGUCGAAGAGAAAACUCAAUUGCAAAAGAGGAAAAGGGACAAGGAGAUAAACAGGUCCACAAAAAAUACCAUAAAAACUCAAGAUUGAGCAACAGGAACUCCGACAAAACAACUGGGAAUCAACUCAGUGCUUCGGAACCGGAUGAAUAGAUCUAAAGUUCUACCUUCAACUUGUUGAUCAGUAAAAUUAUGAAAAUAUUAUAAUACAUUAUACAAACAUAAUUUUUCUAAGUGUAAGUCUAUGAUUAAAGAAUCAUGACAUGACAUUUGUCAUAUCACUUGCAUUCAUCAGUUUAGUUAAUAUCAGCUCUCGAAUUUUUGGCUCUUGGACUGAGAUAAUGUCGAAAGGCUGAUUAGUCGUCUGAUAUCAGAAAUCCCAUGUUAAAAUCUGAUAUUAUUAUUAUUAUUAGAUGCACUAGCUAUAUUCGAGUAAAUUUGUAUUUAAUAUUUCAGUUGUAGCUGAUUCAACCAGUACUUAUUCCCCUUUGUCUACUCAAUUAGGCUUCUUUAUUGGGGGUUUAGUUUUGGGAGCUUUGUUGACCCUCGGUAUAGUGGUCAUUAUUAUCAGAAGACGAAUAUCCAUAACACAAAGGCAAAAGAACAAAACAGCCAACCCAAAAAGCAAUGAACAGCAUUAUGAUAAUCUCGGAAUUGAAACUGUAUCUACGUAUCAGGACCUCGCGGCACAUUCAGUAUCAAACGAAUAUUAUCAGAUUGAUACUCUAUACGCCAAAGAAUAGAUAUCAAACUUGUUAAGCUUUCAUUGUAGUAUGUAAUUGAAAAUAUUUCAUCAACGACCUUUAGACCUCAUGUCAUUAGAUAACUCAUUUUUUUUAUACAAGUAUAAUCAUCCAUGCAACGCAUAUUAAUACAUUUAUUUGAAAUGCACAUUCAAGCUUCAUAUUAUCAUAUCCAAAGAAAGUGUUAUUAUAUAUUCUAUAUUUAAUGAUGUAUGAUACAUGUAUACAAAUAUCGAAAUCAAGCAUUGUUUUCCUAGUGAUUUUUUUUUAAAUAAAUUAGAUUUUAAAUCAACUGUUUUUCAUUUCAGAAAAUUAUUUUGUAUUUAUAAGACAUAAAAAAGAUUUGUAUAUAGAACCAUUUCAUUGUGUAAAAACAUGCAUUUUGUAUUUACCUUUGAUUGUAUUUUCUUGUUAAUCCUUUGUCUACUUGAUAAUGGACUUCAGUAAAGUGUUUCAAGUCAA
This is a long non-coding RNA of Mytilus californianus (California mussel), 3842 nucleotides long. RefSeq lists it as uncharacterized. The record is from RefSeq and is a predicted model, not a curated record. NCBI's taxonomy places the organism in Eukaryota, Metazoa, Mollusca, Bivalvia, Mytilida, Mytilidae. The transcript is spliced from 3 exons.